Molecule: long non-coding RNA, 1084 nt
Organism: Harmonia axyridis
Lineage: Eukaryota; Metazoa; Arthropoda; Insecta; Coleoptera; Coccinellidae
Exons: 4
Source: RefSeq, a predicted model, not a curated record
AGUCAACUAAAAUCAGGUUACAUUUUACCAAUUAUGUUUUAUGCAAUACAGGCUACAUGUAAAAAACUGGAAGCAUUUAGAAUGGAUAAAGAACUUGGAAAUCAUGACUACCGUAAAAAAAAAGAAGGAAAAUCGAGUAUUUGGGCCACAUCAUACAAAAUGAUACUUGGGUGCUGAUAUAAAGAAAUGAGAGUAAAAUAAAAUCAGGCUACUUAAAUAUUACUUUUUACCAAUUCUGUUAUAUGGUCAUGGACACUUACAGAGGCUUCAUUUAGAAAACUGGAAGCAUCUAGCAUUUAUGAAGAUCUUGAAAAUGACUAACACUGUGAAAAAAAGGAAUAUUGAAUAAACGGGCCGUAUCAUAUAAAAUGAACAUAGAGGUAUUUUUCUGCUCACAUAAAGAAAUAAGCCAACUAAAAAUCUUCAUUUUUCUAAUUAUGUUAUGGAAUGCAUUCAUGGACAUUUAAUGAGGUUUCAUUUAGAAAACUGGAAGCAUUUAACAUUGAUGAAGAACUAUGAAAUGAAGACUUCUAUAAAAAAAAGAGGAAUAUUGAGUAAAUGGGCCGCGUCAUAUGAAAUGGAUCUGAGAGGUACUUUUCUACUGAACACAGAAAUAAGAGGAUGAAAAGUCGACUAAAAUCACGUAUUUCCAAUUGUGUUAGAUGGAAUGCAGUCAUCCAGACUUCAUGAAAACUGGAAGCAUUCCAGAUUUAGCUCCACGGAAGAAUAUUUGAAAUCUCUUGGACCUCUGAAAUCAUCAAUAUUGCAAAAAAAAAGAACUCUAGUAUAUGGGCUUUAUAAUGUGAAAGAUGUAAUACGCUUCAGCUCAUAUGUUCUAAUCAGACUAAUCGAAAGCCGGGUGCACGUGUUUGGUACACAUUUUCAUACAAAAACUAACACCUCAGUGAAGCAAUAACUGCAGAGAGGCUUAGAAGUAUUAAAUUUUAUCAGUUACGUUGAGAAAAAUUCACUAAAAUGGCAGAAGAAAUCAACCCAAAGGCAUAUCCUCUAGCUGAUGGUCAGCUUACAAUGAAAAUUUUGAACUUGGUACAGAUGGCACAGAACUACAACCAAUUAAGAAAAG